This 148-nucleotide small nucleolar RNA is filed under the name Drosophila virilis. RNAcentral's name for it is "snoRNA:GJ25435". Lineage: Eukaryota; Metazoa; Arthropoda; Insecta; Diptera; Drosophilidae. The record is from RNAcentral.
UUAGUCCACCUCAAUGCCAGCCAGCUUGUUUUCCAUGCUGAGCUAAGCAUACAUUUCAAUUGGACUCAUAAUAAAUAUAGGGUUUUAAUAUCCUAGUGCCUGAAGAUCUCAUUCUCUUCCCGCUCUCUUGGAACUUAAAACCACAUUA